CUCCGACAACUUUCAUUUAGGAGUAAUUCGCUACAAGUCGAAACAUGAUUUGCUCGGCUCAAAACAAUUGAAUUGGAAAAAAAAUAAGGAUCGAGCAGUAGAUCAGACGGAUCCAACCCGAGAAAGGAAACAGCAUCCUUCGAUAUGAUCGAGGUCCUGAUGUGAUAUAAAUAGCACACAAACUUAAACCCGUUUUUUGAUAGUUGUAGUAUAUGUAAGUAGGAAUCGUUCUAUCCGGGGAUUAUGAUGGCUGCUAAUCUACAAAAAUUAAACUCUAAAUCACUAAGCUAGACUAAAAAACAGAAAACUAAACUUAAACUACUCAAAAUAAGCUAAAUUGACUCAAAACACACAAACUAAGUUAAAUUGACUCGAAACAAGAACUAAAGGGAAAUUUGGAUGAAAAUUAAAUUAAAAAGACUCAGAAUACUAAACAGGUGGUUGUUUUGACGAAUUCAAGAUUUAAACAAACAAAUUUGCAUAAACAAACUAAAGGGUACGAAAUUAGGUGAAUUAAAGGGAUGGAAGGCUAGUUAAAGGGUCCUUCUCCACACAUGAAACAUAUGCAUACAAAUCGAUUUCCAAUUAUUCUUCCUAUAAACCAUGAAUGACAAUGCCCCAAGUUAACCGUGAACUGCAAAAAGUAACAAUCAGAUUUUCCUAAAUUCAUUAAAUUGGACUCAGCGGCGCAACCAAAUUAUUCUUAUCAAGUUCCCUACAUGAACUGCAUAAUAUAGAUACUUAUCAAAGAUCAUUGAGUUCUGUGAAAAUCAUAAGCAUUAGACUUCGGCUUGCCUCGUUCUUUUGUUAAGUUAAAGUUGUUGGAUCUACUUUAUGCCAGCCGCGAAGUCCGUCAGUCGAGCCUUAUUCACCUCAAAAUCCUUUUCAAGUUCUGAAGCAACAACCGAUCUUUGCUGUUGAAGCUCAGCAAUUUGACGUUGAAGCUCGGCAAUUUGAUGAUCAA
This 964-nucleotide long non-coding RNA is filed under the name Malus domestica (apple). Its description in RNAcentral is "long non-coding RNA (MDOM_LNC014133)". The record is from RNAcentral. Lineage: Eukaryota; Viridiplantae; Streptophyta; Magnoliopsida; Rosales; Rosaceae.